UGUCAAGAAUUAUAAAAUUCCACCCAAGGU
RNAcentral lists this non-coding RNA (30 nucleotides) under Rattus norvegicus (Norway rat). The record is from RNAcentral. Lineage: Eukaryota; Metazoa; Chordata; Mammalia; Rodentia; Muridae.